This 534-nucleotide ribosomal RNA is filed under the name uncultured miscellaneous Crenarchaeota group. RNAcentral's name for it is "bacterial SSU rRNA". It matches the Rfam family "Archaeal small subunit ribosomal RNA", at positions 339 to 865 of the family's 1478-position model. The record is from RNAcentral. Lineage: Archaea; Thermoproteati; Candidatus Bathyarchaeota.
GCGCGAAAACUCCGCAAUGCGCGAAAGCGUGACGGGGUCACCCCGAGUGCCGUCCGCUGAGGAUGGCUUUUGCCCGGUUUAACUAGCCAGGUGAAUAAGGGGAGGGCAAGUCUGGUGUCAGCCGCCGCGGUAAUACCAGCUCCCCGAGUGGUUGGGACGAUUAUUGGGUCUGAAGCGUCCGUAGCCGGCCGGAAAAGUUCCCCGUUAAAUCUGGCGAUCCAAUCGUUAGGCUGCGGGGAAUACUCUUCGGCUUGGGGGCGAGGGAGGUCGGCGGUAGUCCCGGGGUAGGGGCGAAAUCCUAUAAUCCCGGGAGGACCACCAGUGGCGAAGGCGGCCGACUAAAACGCGCCCGACGGUGAGGGACGAAAGCUGGGGGAGCGAACGGGAUUAGAUACCCCGGUAGUCCCAGCUGUAAACGAUGCAGGCUAGGUGUUGGGUCGGCUACGAGCUGUCCCAGUGCCGCAGGGAAGCCAUUAAGCCUGCCACCUGGGAAGUACGGCCGCAAGGCUGAAUUUCAUCGAGGCUCAGAAAAAC